This 49-nucleotide transfer RNA is filed under the name Tetranychus malaysiensis. Its description in RNAcentral is "tRNA-Glu". Lineage: Eukaryota; Metazoa; Arthropoda; Arachnida; Trombidiformes; Tetranychidae. The record is from RNAcentral.
UAUUCUGUUGUAAAAGAUUUUCACUCUUUAAUUUUUAGUUUACAGAAUU